RNAcentral lists this ribosomal RNA (1494 nucleotides) under Microbacterium sp. SKU 9. RNAcentral's name for it is "bacterial SSU rRNA". It matches the Rfam family "Bacterial small subunit ribosomal RNA". The record is from RNAcentral. Lineage: Bacteria; Bacillati; Actinomycetota; Actinomycetes; Micrococcales; Microbacteriaceae.
AGGCGGCGCCAAUACUGCAAGUCGAGCGGACAGAUGGGAGCUUGCUCCCUGAUGUUAGCGGAACCUGGAGCUUGCUCUGGGGGAUUAGUGGCGAACGGGUGAGUAACACGUGAGCAACCUGCCCCUGACUCUGGGAUAAGCGCUGGAAACGGCGUCUAAUACUGGAUACGAACAAGAACCGCAUGGUUACUUGUUGGAAAGAUUUUUUGGUUGGGGAUGGGCUCGCGGCCUAUCAGCUUGUUGGUGAGGUAAUGGCUCACCAAGGCGUCGACGGGUAGCCGGCCUGAGAGGGUGACCGGCCACACUGGGACUGAGACACGGCCCAGACUCCUACGGGAGGCAGCAGUGGGGAAUAUUGCACAAUGGGCGGAAGCCUGAUGCAGCAACGCCGCGUGAGGGAUGACGGCCUUCGGGUUGUAAACCUUGCAAAAUAUAUGCGCGUCGUGCGUAUGCGUGACCAGCAGCCGCGGUAAUACGUAGGGCGCAAGCGUUAUCCGGAAUUAUUGGGCGUAAAGAGCUCGUAGGCGGUUUGUCGCGUCUGCUGUGAAAUCCCGAGGCUCAACUUCGGGUCUGCAGUGGGUACGGGCAGACUAGAGUGCGGUAGGGGAGAUUGGAAUUCCUGGUGUAGCGGUGGAAUGCGCAGAUAUCAGGAGGAACACCGAUGGCGAAGGCAGAUCUCUGGGCCGUAACUGACGUUGAGGAGCGAAAGGGUGGGGAGCAAACAGGCUUAGAUACCCUGGUAGUCCACCCCGUAAACGUUGGGAACUAGUUGUGGGGUCCAUUCCACGGAUUCCGUGACGCAGCUAACGCAUUAAGUUCCCCGCCUGGGGAGUACGGCCGCAAGGCUAAAACUCAAAGGAAUUGACGGGGACCCGCACAAGCGGCGGAGCAUGCGGAUUAAUUCGAUGCAACGCGAAGAACCUUACCAAGGCUUGACAUAUACGAGAACGGGCCAGAAAUGGUCAACUCUUUGGACACUCGUAAACAGGUGGUGCAUGGUUGUCGUCAGCUCGUGUCGUGAGAUGUUGGGUUAAGUCCCGCAACGAGCGCAACCCUCGUUCUAUGUUGCCAGCACGUGAUGGUGGGAACUCAUGGGAUACUGCCGGGGUCAACUCGGAGGAAGGUGGGGAUGACGUCAAAUCAUCAUGCCCCUUAUGUCUUGGGCUUCACGCAUGCUACAAUGGCCGGUACAAUGGGCAGCGAUACCGUGAGGUGGAGCGAAUCCCAAAAAGCCGGUCCCAGUUCGGAUCGUAGUCUGCAACUCGACUACGUGAAGUCGGAGUCGCUAGUAAUCGCAGAUCAGCAACGCCGCGGUGAAUACGUUCCCGGGUCUUGUACACACCGCCCGUCAAGUCAUGAAAGUCGGUAACACCUGAAGCCGGUGGCCUAACCCUUGUGGAGGGAGCUGUCGAAGGUGGGAUCGGUAAUUAGGACUAAGUCGUAACAAGGUAACCGGGACAGAUGAUUGGGGGAAGUCGUAACAAAGAAGCCAAA